Molecule: long non-coding RNA, 446 nt
Filed under: Homo sapiens (human)
Lineage: Eukaryota; Metazoa; Chordata; Mammalia; Primates; Hominidae
Description: HSALNT0358179
Source: RNAcentral
GAGACUCUGCCCUUCAAUAACUCAACCAUCUUGGAAUGACCCCACUAUUUAUGCAGUUUUAAGCAGAGAAGGAGAGUCUCCAGGAACUAUACGAAUUAAUCAACUUGAGCAAUCAGCCUGUUUUACAGCCUCCUGCCUUGGAGACUACUUUUUCCAAAACUCUAUGUGGGAUGUGGUCACCUAGUUGGUUGGAACCAGCUCCUGACAGACCCCAGCAACUGACAGAUGAACCUGAGUGAACUUUCCUCAUUAUCAUGCUAAAGUCUCCAUCCCGAAAGGAACUAUAGCUUCAUUACCAGAACAUGCAACCUUUGUGCUGGCAUAAAGGCUCACUGCGUCUAAAGCAACUGGGACCCGUCCCGUACAUGUGAUGAUGCACACUCUCCUCUCUCCAUAGCGCCAUAAACUCUCUCAGGGAGACACUGCUUUGAGGAAUGCUUCCUUAC